Populus nigra (black poplar) is the source of this 933-nucleotide long non-coding RNA. RefSeq lists it as uncharacterized. The record is from RefSeq and is a predicted model, not a curated record. The transcript is spliced from 3 exons. Lineage: Eukaryota; Viridiplantae; Streptophyta; Magnoliopsida; Malpighiales; Salicaceae.
UAUUAAAUUGUAUUUAUUACUCUUUCCGUUCCUUCUUUUCUUCCAAGCUCAGCUUCUUAACCAAAAGAUACGCUCACUGCUCACAGCUACCAUUUUCAUUCCAGGAUUCAGCAACAAGUUUCAGCCACCGAGCUCUUUUUCAACAGAACAAACACCAUUCCAUAAUGCAAUAGUGCUGUCAUGCCAUGUUUCUAUAUAUAAGAUAGCAGGAAUACCUCUUCGGUCCUCUCAUGGCUCACUAGAUGCCCACCGUGGAGAUCAACCAAUCUAGCAAAAGGCUGCAACUUCUUUGCAAGCCUCCUCGCGUAAUAUAUUUGAGCAAUGAUAUCAUGCCUAGCCAAUCCGAGACCUCAAAUCAGUCAUAAGCAGACCCAACGUGCUCAUCAAGAUAUUCCUGCAGAUCAGAAAUAAACAUCAUGUGAGUUCCUGCAGUCACAAAACUGACUCGAGACACUAUCAGAGAGUAAACAUGCCAAGUUUGUCUUUGCACAUUCCAUUUGGUUUUUUUAAAGACGCUCCAUAUCUGGUGGGGAAGAUUUCUUUCCAUUUUCCAAAGUAGCUAUAAGCCUCUUUACAGAAUUUCUCCAGAGCUACCCAAAUUACUGGUCUGCUUCUCAUCAUUUACCUUUGUGUAGUGGGUGUCUAAGUCAACUGCAGCCCUUUGCUCAGGAGUUUUUGCCUUCAAGAAACGGAUAGCGACAGAUAUUGUUCGACUGUCAAGCUGCAAGAUACAAAAAAUUCAUCAUUUUUUAAUCAUAUGACUCGAAUUUUAAAAUAGAAAAGACAAUACCCUCGGGUGCUCAGAAAAGAAAAAUGCACUUUUAUGGCUGGUGACAACCAAAUAGCUUUAAAUGCGGGUGAGAGCUUACAAAACUAAUUGAUGUGAAGUGAAUUAUGAUAAGAGAGAUUCCCAGUGCACAUUAGCACGAGAAA